Molecule: ribosomal RNA, 501 nt
Filed under: uncultured bacterium
Lineage: Bacteria
Description: partial 16S ribosomal RNA
Rfam family: Bacterial small subunit ribosomal RNA
Source: RNAcentral
AUUGAACGCUGGCGGCAGGCUUAACACAUGCAAGUCGAGCGGGGGAAGGUAGCUUGCUACCGGACCUAGCGGCGGACGGGUGAGUAAUGCUUAGGAAUCUGCCUAUUAGUGGGGGACAACAUCUCGAGAGGGAUGCUAAUACCGCAUACGUCCUACGGGAGAAAGCAGGGGAUCUUCGGACCUUGCGCUACUAGAUGAGCCUAAGUCGGAUUAGCUAGUUGGUGGGGUAAAGGCCUACCAAGGCGACGAUCUGUAGCGGGUCUGAGAGGAUGAUCCGCCACACUGGGACUGAGACACGGCCCAGACUCCUACGGGAGGCAGCAGUGGGGAAUAUUGGACAAUGGGGGGAACCCUGAUUCAGCCAUGCCGCGUGUGUGAAGAAGGCCUUAUGGUUGUAAAGCACUUUAAGCGAGGAGGAGGCUACUCUAGUUAAUACCUAGGGAUAGUGGACGUUACUCGCAGAAUAAGCACCGGCUAACUCUGCGCCAGCCGCCGCAGUAA